RNAcentral lists this transfer RNA (145 nucleotides) under Limosilactobacillus oris. RNAcentral's name for it is "tRNA-Ser". The record is from RNAcentral. Lineage: Bacteria; Bacillati; Bacillota; Bacilli; Lactobacillales; Lactobacillaceae.
GGAGCAAUAAUUCCGGCGGUCCCCAGGGCAAUUUUCUUCGUCUUUGCAGCCAGGUAACCCAACGUUACGAAAACGUCGCCAAAACGCGGGUCAUAAAACGGCACGUCCCGGAUCCAGAGGGCCGCGAAUCCCGCUUUCUCCGCCA